This 107-nucleotide small nuclear RNA is filed under the name Cervus elaphus hippelaphus. The record is from RNAcentral. RNAcentral also lists the same sequence under 1 other name. Lineage: Eukaryota; Metazoa; Chordata; Mammalia; Artiodactyla; Cervidae.
AUGCUCACUUCAGCAACACAUAUGCUAAAAUUGGAAAGAUAGCGAGAAAGAUAGUAUGGCUCCUGCAGAGGGAUGACACACAAUUUCAUAAAGCAUCCCACACACAC